Molecule: ribosomal RNA, 482 nt
Filed under: uncultured bacterium
Lineage: Bacteria
Description: partial 16S ribosomal RNA
Rfam family: Bacterial small subunit ribosomal RNA
Source: RNAcentral
AUUGAACGCUGGCGGCAUGCCUUACACAUGCAAGUCGAACGGUAACAGGUCUUCGGAUGCUGACGAGUGGCGCACGGGUGAGUAAUACAUCGGAACGUGCCCGAUCGUGGGGGAUAACGCAGCGAAAGCUGUGCUAAUACCGCAUACGAUCUACGGAUGAAAGCGGGGGAUCGCAAGACCUCGCGCGGACGGAGCGGCCGAUGGCAGAUUAGGUAGUUGGUGGGAUAAAAGCUUACCAAGCCGACGAUCUGUAGCUGGUCUGAGAGGACGACCAGCCACACUGGGACUGAGACACGGCCCAGACUCCUACGGGAGGCAGCAGUGGGGAAUUUUGGACAAUGGGCGCAAGCCUGAUCCAGCCAUGCCGCGUGCAGGAUGAAGGCCUUCGGGUUGUAAACUGCUUUUGUACGGAACGAAAAAGCUCUCUCUAAUACGGGGGGUGAAUGACGGUACCGUAAGAAUAAGCACCGGCUAACUACGUG